RNAcentral lists this long non-coding RNA (489 nucleotides) under Chinchilla lanigera (long-tailed chinchilla). RNAcentral describes it as "lncRNA (ENSCLAG00000029160.1)". Lineage: Eukaryota; Metazoa; Chordata; Mammalia; Rodentia; Chinchillidae. The record is from RNAcentral.
GGGUGAGGAGCACCCAGCCCCAGGGGAGGAGCUAUGGGGUGCAUGCAGCCUGAGAGACAGUACAGAACAAGGACCCCAGGGCUCCACUCAGGACCAAGAGUGGGAGCAGAUCUUCCUCUUCCUGGUUCAGCAGAUUGGCGUGGUUCAUCACUUCCCAUCACAUGGGCCAUCUCUAGACCUGGAAGGGAAACCCUGGAAGGGGCUUGGGACCAAAUGCUUUGGUGAGCUGUGGACAAGGCCCAGUGCAACAGGACACAAAGGCCAGGGAAGAGCGGUGGGUCUUAUUUCUGACAGAAGAAUCACCCUGUCCCAGAAUGUGGGACCUGGAAGACCCUAUGGUUGGACAUUUUCAGUCUGGGGCCCCGGACACACUGGGUUAAAAGGAUGACUCACAGGUGGACUGUGGCUUACAGGUAAUGCCUGGCCAGUACUGUCCUUCUCUAAUGGGAAGGGGCCUGUCUCCAAAAGACCUGAGUCACUAUUCCCCAU